UAAAACCAGCACCUCAAGUGGUCAGGAGGAUUAUUGGGCCUAAAGCAUCCGUAGCCUGCUCUGUAAGUUUCCGGUUAAAUCCAUUAGCUCAACUAAUGGCCUACCGGAAAUACUGCAGAGCUAGGAAGUGGGAGAGGUAGACGGUACUCGGUAGGAAGGGGUAAAAUCCUUUGAUCUAUUGAUGACCACCUGUGGCGAAGGCGGUCUACCAGAACACGUUCGACGGUGAGGGAUGAAAGCUGGGGGAGCAAACCGGAUUAGAUACCCGGGUAGUCCCAGCUGUAAACGAUGCAGACUCGGUGAUGCCCUGGCUUGUGGCCAGUGCAGUGCCGCAGGGAAGCCGUUAAGUUUGCCGCCUGGGAAGUACGUACGCAAGUAUG
RNAcentral lists this ribosomal RNA (380 nucleotides) under uncultured Nitrososphaerota archaeon. Its description in RNAcentral is "bacterial SSU rRNA". It matches the Rfam family "Archaeal small subunit ribosomal RNA", at positions 471 to 851 of the family's 1478-position model. Lineage: Archaea; Thermoproteati; Nitrososphaerota. The record is from RNAcentral.